RNAcentral lists this long non-coding RNA (772 nucleotides) under Anas platyrhynchos platyrhynchos (common mallard). RNAcentral describes it as "lncRNA (ENSAPLG00000025184.1)". The record is from RNAcentral. Lineage: Eukaryota; Metazoa; Chordata; Aves; Anseriformes; Anatidae.
AUUUUAAGCAGUUCAAUUAAUGCAUUUCUCCAUUUUCUGUUCAAACUAUGAAUGAACAAACAUUUCCAUGAAGAACAGAAGUGAAUUUUUAUGCUGAGAGCUUUCCUCUCCUAACCCUGCUCUAUGGCCUCAUAAAAAUCUCACCAUAUAACACAUACAAAUUCAAUGAGAUUCAUGUAUUUAAUAUUAAGCCCACACUUAAUAUUUUUAAUGGAUAUAGCUUAGUCCUCACCUCCUUGCCAGCUGGAGCUCCUGAAGGUUGGGCCUUUUGGCUGCUCCAUGUCACAGUGCAAGGGCACUUAGGGACAGCAGAAUGUCAUCACAAUCACAUGAGCACAGACUACAUGUGCUCUCUGAGGAGGAAGACACAUUGGGCUUGGCACAGCUGCACAUCAGCUAAUCCAGCAUAUGAACCUGCUUCAGAGAACUUCAAAGGGUCUCGAGGUCCCCUUCAUGCAGACCAUGAUGUAAAAACUACACCGGUAAAAUUCCCAAUUCCCAACAAGACAAAAAGCAGCAAGAAAAUCUCCAACAGCAGCUCUUCAGCUCCAGUGGCAGCUGUCAUUGCAGGUCAUAGCAGUGUCUGGUGGGAGAUAAUAUCCAAGAGCUCAAGCAAGUCUCAGGAGUACCGAUAUCACAGUUCUGCUGAUUUUGUUACUGAUUUGCUGCUUGACCUUAGAUAUGGUAGCUAUGAUGCAUAUAUUCCAUAGGAACACGAGGACAAGAAAGGAAGGUAAAUAAAUAAAACCUGUUUCAGGAAAGAAAACCUUAA